This 463-nucleotide ribosomal RNA is filed under the name uncultured bacterium. RNAcentral describes it as "partial 16S ribosomal RNA". It matches the Rfam family "Bacterial small subunit ribosomal RNA", at positions 28 to 507 of the family's 1533-position model. The record is from RNAcentral.
GACGAACGCUGGCGGCGCGCCUAACACAUGCAAGUCGAACGGUGAAGCGGAGCUUGCUCCUCGGGACAGUGGCGGACGGGUGAGUAAAACGUGAGCAAAAUGGCCCUUAGAGGGGGACAACAGUUGGAAACGACUGCUAAUACCGCAUGACGUAUCGGGAUGUCAUCUUCCUGAUACCAAAGAUUUUAUCGCUUAGAGAUGGGCUCGCGUCUGAUUAGAUUGUUGGCGGGGUAACGGCCCACCAAGUCGACGAUCAGUAGCCGGACUGAGAGGUUGAACGGCCACAUUGGGACUGAGGCACAGCCCAGACUGCUACGGGGGGGAGCAGAAGGUGAUAUUGGACGAGGAGGGCAACCCUGGUACAGCGACGCGGCGGGAGAGAAGAAUGUUUUCGGAUUGUGAACCUCUGUUGACGGAGAAAAAAAUGAUGGUAACCGUUUAGAAAGCCACGGCUAACUACGUG